This 481-nucleotide ribosomal RNA is filed under the name uncultured bacterium. RNAcentral's name for it is "partial 16S ribosomal RNA". It matches the Rfam family "Bacterial small subunit ribosomal RNA", at positions 28 to 507 of the family's 1533-position model. The record is from RNAcentral.
GACGAACGUUGGCGGCGUGCUUAAUACAUGCAAGUCAACUGAAGCAGUGGUAGCAAUAUCGCUGUGGAGGUGGCGCACGGGUGAGUAACACGUAGGUAAUCUGCCUUCAGGUCUGGCAUAACUCCGGGAAACCGGGGCUAAUAGCAGAUGAUGCAGCGGCUCGACAUCGAGACAGUUGUUAAAGCUAUUGCGCCUGAAUAUGAGCCUGCGUCUGAUUAGCUAGUUGGCGGGGUAACGGCCCACCAAGGCAACGAUCAGUAGCUGGUCUGAGAGGAUGAUCAGCCACACUGGAACUGAGACACGGUCCAGACUCCUACGGGAGGCAGCAGUAAGGAAUAUUGCUCAAUGGGAGAAAUCCUGAAGCAGCAACGCCGCGUGAGGGACGAAGGGCUUUUGCUUGUAAACCUCUGUAGUGAGAGAAAAAAAUCCCAAUCUUUGGGACAUGAUGGUAUCUCAAAAGUAAGCCCCGGCUAACUACGUG